GCCAGAGUGGCGAAAUUGGUAGACGCAGGGGAUUCAAAAUCCCCCGCCCUAGCGGGUGUGCCGGUUCGAGUCCGGCCUCUGGUACCA
Molecule: transfer RNA, 87 nt
Filed under: Bacterioplanes sanyensis
Lineage: Bacteria; Pseudomonadati; Pseudomonadota; Gammaproteobacteria; Oceanospirillales; Oceanospirillaceae
Also listed under: 6 other names
Description: tRNA-Leu
Rfam family: tRNA
About the family: Transfer RNA (tRNA) molecules are approximately 80 nucleotides in length. Their secondary structure includes four short double-helical elements and three loops (D, anti-codon, and T loops).
Source: RNAcentral